RNAcentral lists this transfer RNA (71 nucleotides) under Bos taurus (domestic cattle). It matches the Rfam family "tRNA". Rfam says of the family: Transfer RNA (tRNA) molecules are approximately 80 nucleotides in length. RNAcentral also lists the same sequence under 5 other names. Lineage: Eukaryota; Metazoa; Chordata; Mammalia; Artiodactyla; Bovidae. The record is from Rfam by way of RNAcentral.
UCCCUGGUGGCUCAGUGGUAAAGAAUCUGCCUGCAAUGCAGGAGGUCUGGGUUCCAUCCCUGGGUUGGGAA